AACGAACGCUGGCGGCAGGCUUCAUACAUGCAAGUCGCACGAUUAAACCCAGCAAUGGGAUAUAGAGUGGCGAACGGGUGAGUAACAGGUGGAUAAUCUGCCUUUUGGUGGGGGAUAACGGCUGGAAACGGCCGCUAAUACCGCAUGUGGUUGCGAGUGCUAUGGCACUUGCAAAGAAAGGGGCUUUACGGCCCUGCCAAAAGAUGAGUCCGCCCCCCAUUAGCUAGUUGGCGGGAUAAUAGCCCACCAAGGCUGUGAUGGGUAGCCGAGCUGAGAGGUUGAUCGGCCACACUGGAACUGAGACACGGUCCAGACACCUACGGGAGGCAG
Molecule: ribosomal RNA, 330 nt
Filed under: uncultured Candidatus Sumerlaeota bacterium
Lineage: Bacteria; Candidatus Sumerlaeota
Description: bacterial SSU rRNA
Rfam family: Bacterial small subunit ribosomal RNA
Source: RNAcentral